UUAAAGUUGUUGUGGUUAAAAAGCUCGUAGUUGAACCUUGGGCCUGGCUGGCCGGUCCGCCUCACCGCGUGUACUGGUCCGGCCGGGCCUUUCCUUCUGGGGAACCUCAUGCCCUUCACUGGGCGUGUUGGGGAACCAGGACUUUUACUUUGAAAAAAUUAGAGUGUUCAAAGCAGGCCUAUGCCCGAAUACAUUAGCAUGGAAUAAUAGAAUAGGACGUGCGGUUCUAUUUUGUUGGUUUCUAGGAUCGCCGUAAUGAUUAAUAGGGAUAGUUGGGGGCAUUUGUAUUCCGUCGUCAGAGGUGAAAUUCUUGGAUUGAUUGAAGACUAACUACUGCGAAAGCAUUUGCCAAGGACGUUUUCAUUAAUCAAGAACGAAGGUUAGGGGAUCGAAAACGAUCAGAUACCGUUGUAGUCUCUUCUGUAAACUAUGCCAAUUGGGGAUUAGCUCAGGAUUUUUAAUGACUGAGUUAGCACCCGAAGAGAAAUCUUUAAAUGAGGUUCGGGGGGGAGUAUGGUCGCAAGGCUGAAACUUAAAG
This 538-nucleotide ribosomal RNA is filed under the name Chaetoceros curvisetus. RNAcentral describes it as "partial Eukaryotic small subunit ribosomal RNA". It matches the Rfam family "Eukaryotic small subunit ribosomal RNA", at positions 604 to 1149 of the family's 1831-position model. The record is from RNAcentral. Lineage: Eukaryota; Bacillariophyta; Thalassiosirophyceae; Chaetocerotales; Chaetocerotaceae.